UGGGGAAUUUUGGACAAUUGGGCGAAAGCCUGAUCCAGCAAUGCCGCGUGUGUGAAGAAGGCCUUCGGGUUGUAAAGCACUUUUGUCCGGAAAGAAAUCCUUGGCUCUAAUACAGUCGGGGGAUGACGGUACCGGAAGAAUAAGCACCGGCUAACUACGUGCCAGCAGCCGCGGUAAUACGUAGGGUGCAAGCGUUAAUCGGAAUUACUGGGCGUAAAGCGUGCGCAGGCGGUUUGCUAAGACCGAUGUGAAAUCCCCGGGCUCAACCUGGGAACUGCAUUGGUGACUGGCAGGCUAGAGUAUGGCAGAGGGGGGUAGAAUUCCACGUGUAGCAGUGAAAUGCGUAGAGAUGUGGAGGAAUACCGAUGGCGAAGGCAGCCCCCUGGGCAAUACUGACGCUCAUGCACGAAAGCGUGGGGAGCAAACAGGAUUAGAUACCCUGGUAGUCCACGCCCUAAACGAUGUCAACUAGUUGUUGGGGAUUCAUUUCCUUAGUAACGUAGCUAACGCGUGAAGUUGACCGCCUGGGGAGUACGGUCGCAAGAUU
RNAcentral lists this ribosomal RNA (547 nucleotides) under uncultured bacterium. RNAcentral's name for it is "partial 16S ribosomal RNA". It matches the Rfam family "Bacterial small subunit ribosomal RNA", at positions 355 to 895 of the family's 1533-position model. The record is from RNAcentral.